This 167-nucleotide ribosomal RNA is filed under the name uncultured bacterium. RNAcentral's name for it is "partial 16S rRNA". It matches the Rfam family "Bacterial small subunit ribosomal RNA", at positions 355 to 511 of the family's 1533-position model. The record is from RNAcentral.
UAGGGAAUCUUCGGCAAUGGGGGGCAACCCUGACCGAGCAACGCCGCGUGAGUGAAGAAGGUUUUUCGGAUCGUAAAGCUCUGUUGUAAGAGAAGAACGUGUGUGAGAGUGGAAAGUUCACACAGUGACGGUAACUUACCAGAAAGGGACGGCUAACUACGUGCCAG